This 252-nucleotide unclassified non-coding RNA is filed under the name uncultured Pleosporales. Its description in RNAcentral is "sequence contains 5.8S rRNA gene, ITS2, 28S rRNA gene". Lineage: Eukaryota; Fungi; Ascomycota; Dothideomycetes; Pleosporales. The record is from RNAcentral.
AACGCACAUUGCGCCCCUUGGUAUUCCAUGGGGCAUGCCUGUUCGAGCGUCAUUUGUAUCUUCAAGCUUUGCUUGGUGUUGGGUGUUUGUCUUGCUCUAUGCGUGGACUCGCCUUAAAUCAAUUGGCAGCCGGUAAUCUGGUGUUAAGAGCGCAGCACAUUGUGCGCUCCUCGCUGUGUAUCUGCGGCGUCCAUUAAGCCUAUAUUUUUUGCUCUUGACCUCGGAUCAGGUAGGGAUACCCGCUGAACUUAA